RNAcentral lists this ribosomal RNA (253 nucleotides) under uncultured bacterium. RNAcentral describes it as "partial 16S ribosomal RNA". It matches the Rfam family "Bacterial small subunit ribosomal RNA", at positions 524 to 776 of the family's 1533-position model. The record is from RNAcentral.
UACGUAGGGUGCAGGCGUUAAUCGGAAUUACUGGGCGUAAAGCGUGCGCAGGCGGUUUGCUAAGAGAGAUGUGAAAUCCCCGGGCUUAACCUGGGAACUGCGUUUCUAACUGGCAGGCUUGAGUGUGGCAGAGGGGGGUGGAAUUCCACGUGUAGCAGUGAAAUGCGUAGAGAUGUGGAGGAACACCGAUGGCGAAGGCAGCCCCCUGGGCUAACACUGACGCUCAUGCACGAAAGCGUGGGGAACAAACAGG